RNAcentral lists this ribosomal RNA (560 nucleotides) under Bacillus sp. Ni7. RNAcentral describes it as "bacterial SSU rRNA". It matches the Rfam family "Bacterial small subunit ribosomal RNA", at positions 28 to 571 of the family's 1533-position model. The record is from RNAcentral. Lineage: Bacteria; Bacillati; Bacillota; Bacilli; Caryophanales; Bacillaceae.
GUUUUACGCUGGCGGCGUGCCUAAUACAUGCAAGUCGAGCGGACAGAUGGGAGCUUGCUCCCUGAUGUUAGCGGCGGACGGGUGAGUAACACGUGGGUAACCUGCCUGUAAGACUGGGAUAACUCCGGGAAACCGGGGCUAAUACCGGAUGGUUGUUUGAACCGCAUGGUUCAGACAUAAAAGGUGGCUUCGGCUACCACUUACAGAUGGACCCGCGGCGCAUUAGCUAGUUGGUGAGGUAACGGCUCACCAAGGCGACGAUGCGUAGCCGACCUGAGAGGGUGAUCGGCCACACUGGGACUGAGACACGGCCCAGACUCCUACGGGAGGCAGCAGUAGGGAAUCUUCCGCAAUGGACGAAAGUCUGACGGAGCAACGCCGCGUGAGUGAUGAAGGUUUUCGGAUCGUAAAGCUCUGUUGUUAGGGAAGAACAAGUGCCGUUCAAAUAGGGCGGCACCUUGACGGUACCUAACCAGAAAGCCACGGCUAACUACGUGCCAGCAGCCGCGGUAAUACGUAGGUGGCAAGCGUUGUCCGGAAUUAUUGGGCGUAAGGGCUCG